This 1349-nucleotide unclassified non-coding RNA is filed under the name Hevea brasiliensis (rubber tree). Lineage: Eukaryota; Viridiplantae; Streptophyta; Magnoliopsida; Malpighiales; Euphorbiaceae. The record is from RNAcentral.
CUGCUCCACCAACCAUUGUUUUCUAUCCAUUUCUGAAAUCUAGCAACAGGAUCUCGUGCCAAUCUCCACCGUUCAAUCUCAUCAACUGAACGAUACUUUGUGGAAUCAUCUGAUGUGGUGUGAUGUCCUACUCGAUAUGUUAGAGCCUCAACUAAGAUUGGUCUGUGUUCACUGAUUGCCAUUUGCCGAGCAGCAUAAACUGCACUAUACAUGGCAAGAGCAUCGUUACCAUCUACACGAAUACUUCGUACUCCAUAAGCCUGCCCUCUAACAACAACGCCAUCACUUCGAAACUGGUCCAAAAUAGGGGUGCUAAUAGCCCAUCCAUUGUUUCGACAGAUAAAUAUAACUGGUGCCUCCAUGACCGCCGCAAAAUUUAAAGCAGCAUGAAAAUCUCCCUCACUUGAGCCACCAUCACCAAAAUAAGUGACUACACAAGAAUCUUUGCCUUCCAUCUUUAGAGAAUAUGCCGCACCGACUGCAUGGGGAAGCUGUGAAGCAAUUGUUGAUGCCACAGUAAAGUAAUUGUGUUUUUUUGACCCAUAAUGGGCAGGCAUCUGCCUGCCUUUGCAACUAUCACCUCUGUUACUAAAACAUUGGUCCGCAAAUUCUUGAAGGGUGAAACCACGCCAUAAAAGAACUCCUGGCUCUCUAUACUGAGGGACGACAAGAUCAUCAAUUGUGAGAGCUGCUGCUGAUGCAAUAUUGAUGGCCUCUUCUCCAAUUGCAGUCACAUAGAAUGAAAUUCUUCCUUGCCUCUGUGCUUCAUAGAAGAUAGUGUCCAUAGUUUGAAGUGUCACCAUAUCGCUGUAAAUUUUUCUAGCAAUUUCACUGCUGACCCCUACAAAGUUACUGUCCUCAAUUAGCUGGCCAUUGUCAUCAAGGACACGAUAGCAGGGAAUCCGCUCCUUAAGAGAUUCAGAUAAAAACUUCAUUUCAGGAGUGAAUGCAACCUUUCCUCCAGGGAAAUCCAAAACCUGAUUGCUGUCAAUGCUGCUAUACUGCGAACCCAACCGUCCACUAUCGGCUUUGGUGGACUCAAAACGGCAGGUCGCUAUUUUGCUAAAAUUUGCAUCUGGGUUCUUGAAAUCUCGAACAGGUGGAGUUAAAGCUAGAAACUUACCAAUAUGGGUAGAAGAAGAAAAUGAAGCACUAUGGUUUGUAACACUCAAAAGACCCAUCCUCGAUUUAACAUGGUUAGCAAUGUUUCUCAUACGCAUAGCCAUGAAAACAAGACGGAAACAGACGGAAACAGAGGUUUUUGCUGAGUUUCUAUUCCCUAGAGAAGAGAAGGGUUUGCUUUGUUAAGCAAAUUGAUUGGGCACAGCUUCCUAAGGCGAUGCAACUGG